Molecule: long non-coding RNA, 298 nt
Organism: Ornithorhynchus anatinus (platypus)
Lineage: Eukaryota; Metazoa; Chordata; Mammalia; Monotremata; Ornithorhynchidae
Exons: 2
Source: RefSeq, a predicted model, not a curated record
UCUAAUCCCGGCUCCGCCACAAGUCUGCUGUGUGACCUUGGGGCUCUGGGAAGAUGAAGGAGCUGCACGAACAAUGAAGAGCUGCACGAACAAUGAACGGGCCUUGUUGUUCAAACUCAAGUGCCAUCGAGCACUUGGAUUUCCGUGGUCGUGAUGGCUGGGAGUCCUGACAGGCUCAGGAGGCUCUCACAGAUCCCGGCGGGGCAGACACAUCCCUCUGUGUUUCGGUGCUCUGGCCAACUCCUCCAGCUAAGGUUGAGCCAAAAUAAAGGGCUUUUCCGCCGGGAGAACCAUCCAA